AACCCUGACCCAGCAACGCCGCGUGAAGGAUGAAGGCCUUCGGGUUGUAAACUUCUGUGACGGGGGACGAGGUAUGACGGUACCCCGAGAGGAAGCCACGGCAAACUACGUGCCAGCAGCCGCGGUAAUACGUAGGUGGCGAGCGUUGUCCGGAAUCACUGGGCGUAAAGGGCGCGUAGGCGGCUUGACAAGUCGCAUGUGAAAAACCAGGGCUCAACUCUGGGGGGUCAUGCGAAACUGUUUGGCUUGAGUGCAGUAGAGGGAAGCGGAAUUCCUGGUGUAGCGGUAAAAUGCGUAGAGAUCAGGAGGAGCACCGGUGGCGAAGGCGGCUUUCUGGCUUGUAACUGACGCUGAUGCGCGAAAGCGUGGGGAGCAAACAGGAUUAGAUACCCUGGUAGUCCACGCGGUAAACGAUGAUUACUAGGUGUGGGUAUCGCANGAUAUCCGUGCCGGAGCAAACGCAAUAAGUAAUCCGCCUGGGGAGUACGGCCGC
Molecule: ribosomal RNA, 493 nt
Filed under: uncultured bacterium
Lineage: Bacteria
Description: bacterial SSU rRNA
Rfam family: Bacterial small subunit ribosomal RNA
Source: RNAcentral